RNAcentral lists this transfer RNA (67 nucleotides) under Birmella discoidalisa. RNAcentral describes it as "tRNA-Thr". The record is from RNAcentral. Lineage: Eukaryota; Metazoa; Arthropoda; Insecta; Hymenoptera; Tenthredinidae.
GUUUUAAUAGUUUACAUAAUAAAAUAUUGAUUUUGUAAAUCAAAGAAAAAUUUUAAUUUUUAAAACU